UUUCACGCCAAUACGACUCGGAUUUAUCCCGACACUCUCCAGAGCUGUCGACAAGCCUCUCCUGCUGAACACCAAGGAUACCACAUCCUCCCCCAGUACAAAAAGUUUCGUCCUCGAAACUUAACACGUACCUCAACCCUGAGCAUCAAACAAGUAGGGAUAGGACUCCCUCAUCACCGUCUCAGGCUCCCAAAUUGCCUCCCGCUCCUCGUGAUUACUCCACUGUACUUUUACAUACGGGAUGACUCAAUUGCGCAAUUCUUUCGUCUCCCGAGCAAUAAUCCGCAACGGCCACUCCUCGUAUCUCAGAUCCUCACCAAUCUCUAGUGGAGUGGAGUCGAUCACGUGAGAAGGAUCGAACACAUAUCUCUUCAAUGCUGAGACGCGGAAGACAUCAUGAAUGCCAGCUAGUCGCGGGGGUAGAGCGAUCCUGUAAGCAACUGGUCCAACUCACUUCAAUAACUCAAAACGGCCAACGAAACGUGGACUAAGCUUUCCACGUACUCCAAAUCGGGGAAUCCCUCUGGACGGCGAGACUUUGAGGAAAACAUGAUCUCCAACCCGGAACUCUAAGUCUUGUCUCCUGGUAUCAGCGUAGCUCCUCUGGCGGCUCUGGGCUAUCAAAAGGUGCCGACGAACAACUCUCACCUUUUCCUCAGCCUCAAGCAAGAUCUCAGGCCCUAGUGUCCUCCUCUCACCCACAUCACUCCAAAACAAAGGGGAUCGACAUCUGUGUCCAUACAACACCUCAAACGGAGCCAUCUGGAUGCUCGUUUGAUAGCUGUUGUUAUACGCAAACUCAGCUAAUCUCAAAUAUCGAUACCACCCUCCUCCAAAAUUCAGGACGCAUGCUCUCAGCAUGUCCUCUAGAGUUUGAAUGGUCCGCUUUGACUGACCAUCUGUCUGUGGAUGAAACGCUGUGCUGAACGGUAACUGCGUACCUAAGGCUGCCUGCAAACUCCUCCAGAAGUGUGAUACAAACCUCGGAUCCCUAUCAGAUAUGAUUGAAAUCGGCACGCCAUGCAACCUAACAAUCUCAUCCAGAUAUAGUUGCGCGAGUCUCUCUCUGGACCAGGUGGUCUGAACAGGUAAGAAGUGAGCAGACUUGGUCAGUCUGUCCACUAUCACCCAAAUAGCAUAAAAACCACCCUGUAGUCUCGGCAACCCCACAACAAAAUCCAUCGUGAUCUGCUCCCAUUUCCACUCGGGCACUGGCAGACACUGAAGCUUGCCAGCAGGUACCUUAUGCUCGGCCUUCACCUGUUGACAAGUUAGACACUGAGCCACAAAUCUGUCAAUGUCCCUCUUCAUUCCGUUCCACCAAAACUGUGCCUUCAAGUCUUUAUACAUCUUGGUUCCACUAUGGUGAACCGUAUAAGGAGAAUAAUGAGCUUCUCUCAAAAUAUCCGCUCGAAUCUCUGCAUUCAUAGGCACACACAGUCAGUCCCUGUACCGUAGUACUCAUGAACUGUCCACAGUAAAACACUCAGCCUGUCCCCUAUCUAGCUGCUCUCGAAUCCUCGAUAAGUAUAGAUCUCCACUCUGUUUCUCUCGGAUCCUAUCCAGCAAAGUGGGCUGCAAAAUCAGAGACAUUAGUCUCGCAGUAGAUCCAGAGGACACUACCUCGAGUCUCAGCCGCUGCAACUCCUCAAGUAACGGCCUCUACUGUGUGAUCAUCAAACUCAAGCUCUGCACUGCCUUCCUGCUCAACGCAUCUGCCACCACAUUCGCCUUGCCUGGAUGAUACUGAAUACUAACGUCAUAAUCCUUCAGUAACUCCAACCACCGGCGCUGCCUCAGGUUCAGCUCCCUCUGGGUGAACAGAUACUUGAGGCUCUUAUGAUCGGUGAAAAUCUCGCAGUGCUCGUCAUACAAGUAAUGCCGCCACAACUUCAAUGUAAAGACUACCGCGGCAAGCUCCAAGUCAUGCGUAGGGUAAUUCUUCUCAUAAUCCUUUAACUACCGCGAAGCAUAAGCAAUUACCCUACCAUGCUGCAUUAGCACACAACCCAAUUCGCAGUGCGAUGCAUCACAAAAGAUCACAAAUCCUUCCCCUAUCACUGGAAGGGCAAGGAUAGUAGUUGACAUCAAUCUCUGUCUCAACUCAUCAAAGCUCCUCUGACAGUCGUCACUCCAGACAAAACGAAUCCCCUUUCGAGUCAAUCGAGUGAGCGGUGUGGAAAGCUUCGCAAAGCCUUCCACAAACCGAUGGUAAUACACUGCCAGUCCCAGGAAACUCCUCACCUCAGUAACCGUCGUCGGUCUAGGCGAAUCCCGAAUAGAAUCAAUCUUCUUCGGGUCCACUGCUACUCCCUCUGCAAAAAUCACAUGGCCUAAGAAAGCAACCUCCCGUAACCAGAACUUGCACUUCUUUAACUUGGCAUACAACUUCUUCUCUCGUAGAAGUUGUAACACAAUCCUCAAGUGCUCCUCAUGCUCGACAUCGCUCCGGGAGUAUAUCAAAAUGUCAUCGAUGAAGACUACUACAAAACUAUCCAAGAAUGGCUUGAACACCCUGUUCAUCAAAUCCAUGAAUGCGGCAGGGGCAUUCGUCAAUCCAAAAGGCAUCACCGUAAACUCAUAAUGCCCGUACCGAGUCCAAAAAGCCGUCAUGGGAACAUCCUCGGCCCUCACCCUUAGCUGGUGGUAACCUGACUGGAGAUCAAUCUUCGAAAAGACACAAGAUCCUUGCAGCUGAUCAAACAGAUCAUCAAUGCGUGGCAAAGGAUACUUGCUCUUGAUGGUCACUUUAUUCAGCUCUCGGUAAUUCACGCAUAACCUAAGUGACUCAUCUUUCUUCUUUACAAAUAACACCGGCGCUCCCCAAGGCGAUACACUGGGUCUCACAUACCCCUUAUCUAUCAGAUCCUGAAGCUGCGCCUUUAGCUCUCUCAGCUCCGCCGGUGCCAUCCGAUAACGCACCUUAGAGAUUGGUGUAGUUUCAGGAACUACAUCAAUCACAAACUCAAUCUCCCUCUCCAGCGGCAUCGUCGUCAACUCUAGAAAAAACACAUCCAGAAACUCUCGGACUAUAAGAAUAUCCUUGUCCCGACGCCGCCGUAUGUACCUCUACAACUGUUGCUAGAAAAAUGAUACAACCACUACUCAGCAUCUGUCGAGCCCUCGCCGAAGAUAUCCAGGUGGCAAACAACGUACUCCUGUAGUCUCUAAAAGUAAGCUCCUCCUGGCCUGGCUCCCGGAACGUCACUGUCCUCGCUCCACAAUUGAUCGUAGCAUAGUACCGCGCCAGCCAGUCCAUACCGAGCACAACGUCAAAGUCCUGCAACUGCCCUAGCACCAACAGGUCUGUAGGCAUAAUCCACGAAUCCAACUACACCGGACAUGACCAAUAACACUCUGCAACCUGUAACACAUGGUCGGGGAUGUGUACCUCUCGUGCCUGAGACAACGUCCCUAACUCUAGACCAUGCAACAAUACAAAUGCUCGACUAAGAAAGGAAUGCGAUGCACCGAUAUCAAAAAGUGUAAGAGUUCUAAUGCGAGAAAUCAAAAUAAUACCUACCACCACGCGGUCGGCUGCUGUGGAGUCCUCCACCUUAGCUGCAUGACACGGCUACUCGAUGUCUGCUGUCGCCGCUCACUCUUACACGGCACAGAUGCUUUAUUCUCCUGACGGUAACUCGACGGUGCCCCCUAAGACUGCAGGGAUGCUUGCUGUGCAGAUGCUGUGGACGGUGCUGGUGAUGCUGCUCGAUGACAAGCUGACCUCAUAUGCCCUUGCUGACCGCAACUAUAACACCUGCCCUCUCUCUGCUCGCACUGCCGGGGCCAGUGGGGUCCCCCGCAGAUCACACACUGCGGUGUCCUCGGUGAUUGUCCCUGCUGACGAGAUCCCGAAGAACGCUGACGCCCCGAAGACCCACGACCCUGAGAGCGCGAUUGUGGUGGUCUCGGCGGACGCCUACUGCUCGACGGUCCUGCAUCAUCUGGAAAGGGCGCUUUCGGUCCUGACUCUGCCCCACUGCCUAAGUUCUCUCCGGAAGCGACACUUCCUCCCUCUCCACCCAUAAGGCCUGCUCUAUGGAUGCAUCCAGGGUUCUCGACCUCUACGCAUGAACCAACCUGAAGAUAUCGGGUCUCAGCCCCUGCUCAAACAGAUAAACCCUGUGUGCCUUGUCCCUGGCUACAAACAGCACACAGUUCAAGAGUCGAGUAAACUCCCGAAUAUACUCCUGCAUUGCCGAUCCCCCUGUUGAAUCCUCUUCAAAUCCUCCUCGAGUUUCUGUUUCACACUGUUAGGAAAAUAUAUCCCAAACAGCAUUCCACAGAACUCAUCCCAUCUCAGCUGCAACGCUACUAGUCCCUGAUCUCGCCUCACUCUCCUCCACCAGGCGUGUGCAUCACCUACUAAGCAAUGGACUCCCAAAGAAACCUGCUCCCACUCAGGAAUGAACAGAUCCUCAAAUAGCUUCUCCAUAGCACUGACCCAUCCCUCAACGACCCAGGCCUCAGUACCACUGCCAUCGAAGGUCGGCGGAUCAAAACGGCGAAAACGAGCCAGCCUCUUGGUCAUCCGCUCCUGCUCGGCCUCGGUCAAUUGUCCUGGCCCUCUAGAAGGCGCAACCGGCACUGCAAGAAUAUCCACUAGCGGGGGUACAGCUGUGGCUGGUGUGGCGGCUAAAGUAGUCGGAGGUGGAACAGCCGGCUCUGGUACUCUCGGUACUAUACUCGGUGGCGGAGCUACCCUCUCACACAACCUCUCCAACAACUCCCCUUGUCGCCUCGUCACCUCCGUCAAGGCAGCCAACUGUGCACUCAAAUCAGGAGGUUCACCCACCUCCGGUCGGGCCCUCUGCUCCGCAACAGGGGGUGUACUCGCCUCUGCCUACUUUGGCAUCUCAGGAGGUACAGCACGAUCCUGAGUCAACUGUGCACGAUCUCGCGUACACGGUCGACCUCGGCGACGAUAUAUAGCUGCAAGAAACAGAACGGGGUCAGAUCAAACAAACACUCUCGACCCAAUCAACGACAGUCUAGAAGACGGCCUCUGUUUCUCCUCAAAAUUAUGUCGUCUGCAGCCGAAAUAAUUUUUCUCGACCGAAAUAGAAACUCCUUCAAUAACUCAUUCCACUCUAGGAGUAGUUAAAAUAAUUAAUCAUUGACUUUGGCGAUAAAUCACGCCUCUCGCGUCUUGCCUCCUAAGGUUUGCCAAACUUAGGGUUCCUAGGUCCCAACGACCUAAUACUAAGCUCUAAUACCAACUUAAUCUGUCAUGCCCCAGAUAUCACGUUGUACGACACGCCGACAAAUCCGCCGUAUACAAAGAAAUUUUUCCUGUAUAUGAAACAAAGCUGUAACUGUACCUGUAAUAAUACAACACUAAAACCAGUAGUAUAGAGCUGCUAUGGAAAAUAAACAUAACCUGGUAGCAAAUAAAAGUUCACUAUACAUACAACAUCUGUAUACAAAAGCUCGCCUCGCGAGAAACAGUAAUGACAUUAUGUAUAAGAACUCAAAAACUACAACUACCUGCAGCUGGCACUCCACUAGCUCUGGCUCGUCUCGUAGGGCUCUAACUCGCGACGCCCUUGCCACGAUCAGGAUCAGCAGCAGCCGACGACGACGGCUCUGCAAAACGAAAAGGAACAAUAGGGCGUGAGAACUACUGUGAAAACAAGUAGUCCUCAGUGGGUGCAGCCCUCAAUAUCAUCGGUCCACCCACUAAGUCUACAAAAGGGAGCAAAGAUAGUAGAAGAAUGCUGUAAGAGAAUCUACAACUACAAGUCACUACACUAUCAUGCUCUAUACUAACCAACUAUAGGAAAUAUCAAUUCUGACCCAAUCCAACUGGGACUAUAAGCAUACCCGUCCCUGGGACUGUGAACACACUCGUCCCGCCCGGUUGCGACUAUACAGCUACCUCCACACUAAGCGGUCUGUGGAGAGCAAGUCCAAUGUAACCCCCCGGGGUCUCGGAAGGAAUUAUCGAACUUUAGCCAAAUCGACUAAAGUAUGCGAAGAAGAUGGAUGGACAAGUCCCAAUUAACAUUCCAACACUGUUGGAAGGGUUAAAAGUAAGCUCUAAAAGAGUUGGAAGGGUUUUGGCAUCGAACGGCGCGAAGUGGAGCGGAAUUUAAGUCAAAAAUGACAUUCUGGAUGUUUUGUACCGGUACAAACCCAAUGGUUGUACCGGUACAACCAGCGAAGCUCUCGGGUUGGAGCUGCCAGGCCUUGCACCGGUACAGGGGGCCUUGUACCGGUACAAGCCCUGCUUAACCGAGAGAACCAGCUCUCGGGUUGGGCUGUCUGCCAGGCCUUGUACCGGUACAAGACCCCGUGUACCGGUAUAAGGAGCCCGAACAGCAGGAGAUGUUUCAGAUAUGGAAAAAAUAGAGGGGCUUAUUUGCAAAUAUGCCUAUAUGAGGCAGAGGGUCCACUCCCCUCUCAUUUCCCUCUCAUUUCUCUCCCUCUCUCACACCUCUCUUGCUCUCUCUCUCUCUAAACCGAAAAGAGAAAGAAAGAAGAAGAAGAAGAAGAAAGGAAGGAGAGGAAGAACAAGAAAAGAGGAGGAAAGUAAGGAGAAGAUCAAGGAGAAUGAGAAGAAGCUCAUCUCCCUUCUCUCUUUCAAGCUAAAGCUAGCUUUGGAGCAAGCUUUUAGAGGUAAGCUCUGACCCUAAAAAGGCAUUUCUAGGGUUUAGGGUUUUGGUUGCUUUUGAGUGGUUCAAAUGGAACCCAUUUGAGUUAGAGAAGAUGGUUCUAGCUCACAUUGAAGCUUUGAACCAUGGAUUGCACCAUUGAUGCAAACAUAGGGUUAGGGUUUGGGUUUUGAACCCUAGAUCUUGGUUUUGAUCUCCCUACAAGUUUUAGAACCUUACAUUAGACAAAAGAACACAUGAAAUCCAAGUGUUCUUCAAGGUGCUCUAAUGGUGGAUUUCUAGGGUUUGUUCUAAACACCCUAGAAAUGAUUCGGAUGCUCCUAGUUGAGCUUCUAGAUGAUAAACAAGCUCUCUUUUGCUUGUUUUAUAGAUCGAAUCCGGAAUAUUGAGCAUAUGUCACAUUAGGGCAUCCCAAAGAGGGAUUUUUCUCAUGUGGGGUUUUGAUCUAUUUUGACCCCUUAGAAACCUAAUUGGGGACCUAACAAACGCGUUGGCGAAGUCGGUUUAACCAUUCAUCGAGUGUACGCGAAGUUAUUGGCCAAAUAAUAUUUUGUCGUACAGAUGGCCGCAGCACGCGGAAUAAAGGUCUAAAAAUCAUGAGAUCAGAACCGGAGCACCUUGGAGUCAAGGAAUAAGCACCGGUAAAGACGGAUCGCGAUUUGGAGGUCGUUUGGAGGUCGCGUAAGAGUGCGGGCCAAACCGGGCAACGAUUGCUGCGGGGGGCCGAUUGCAAGUGACUACAAGCAAUCGGAGAGCGAGUUAAGGUGGGUUGUGUUUACCGAAGCGACUAGGUCGCCAUUAUGUCUAAGAAAUGUUAAAAAUCUAUGUUGAUGCAUAUAAAUGUAAAUGGGACAUGUAUAGGAUUCAUAGAGCUAAUGCUAAUUAAAGCAUGUUGGUAGUAUUUGUAAAGUGCUAUGUAAAUGCUUGACGAGCAUUGCGAGACUAUAAAUAUGCAUGUAAACUAGAAGAGUGCAAGUAAGCACAACGCAUAGAAUGAAUUGCAUGAUGAUGACAUAUUCAUGUAGAAAUGAAUGUUAGAUAAAGUGCAUACUAAUAUAAGAUGUAUGUUAAGUAAACACAUGAACUAUGUGCAUGAACUAGAUGCUAAUGAUAAAUGCAUAAGACAUAUGCCUAGCUAUGAAUGUGAAAUAAGAUUAAUGAACUCUAAGUAGAGUAAAGAAUUUGACAUUGUAAAGUAAGAACCUCGAGUGGCAUGUCAAUUGAGAAUCCUAAGUAUAAAUAACUAGGAUGAUGAGUGGCAAUGAAACCUAGCGUCAUUGAACAUAGGUUAAUGAGAAAGACAUUGAACCUCAUGUUAGAGAACAUAGGUUGAGAGUUAAAGUUAAUGAACCUAGCGUUAAAGUAAUAGGUUGAGAGUUAAAGUUAAUGAACCUGGCGUUAAAGUAAACCUAGGAAAUGUGAUAAAAGUGUUAAACCUAGAGUCAAGUAAACCUAGGUUGGAAAGGAUAAUGGACCUAAGUAGGUCGACACUAUAGGGUUACAAGACCAACCCUUCAGUUAUGUAAAGUGGAUUCCGGAAUCCUGGCUGCGAGUGCAGCGGCUGCCAGUGCAGCAUAUGAGCUCGGAUGUUCUUGGCCGCGGGUGUAUGUGGCAAGGUUCCUCUCCCACCGGAAGAACUUCGAGGUUUGUGAUCGAGCAAGAACAGUGAGCGCUAGGGUGUAUGUGGCACGUUCCUCCCCCUAUCGGGGAUCUCGGCUGCGGGUGUAUGUGGCAUGUUCCUCUUCCACCGGGAGAUCCCUGACCACGGGGUACGCUAGGCGACCCGUUGGGCGAUGUGGUUCUUGGUCUAUAGGCUGAGGUGCAUACGAGAGUUCCUUCACCUCGAGCCGGACAGAGCGCGGCUUAUCCGCUGUCGAUUAACUCAAGAUCGAGUCGGGUGGCAUAGUGUGACCGAGGUAUAUGUAACCUUAGAAAAGAAUGGCAAGUAAAGUACAGAGCUAGCUAAGAAUAAAGAAUGGCUAAAGAAUGAGAAUAACAAAAGAAAAGAAUAAGAAACGGCUAAUGUAAAAGAAUAGCUAAUAAAGUAAAGAAACGUUACAAGUAAAGAAUGGCCGAGAAUAUAAAGUAGGACAAAGCAAUCUACAUGCAUAAGUAUAGGGUUUGCAUAUUGCAUUUUGGGGGCAGGACAUCUUAGUUCAAUAUCUGUUAUAUAUCUGCUACAUGUUAUUGGACUAACUUGUUACAGGGCCUCAUUAGACAUAUCGACCAAGCUUUUCCCUUGGGUGGCCGUACCCACUGGGAACCAUGGAGUUGGUUCUCACCCCACGUGGUUUUGGGGUGUUUACAGGUACACACGUGAGCGGCGCAGCGGCGCGAGGCAAGGGCGUAGCUUCAUAGAUAGCGCCCUACCCCAGAGACCGAGAUAGCGGUACCCGAGUUAGUGGUCUAGCUUGGGAGGUUUAAAGAUAAGAACAAACUUUUAUCAAGUUGUAAUAAAUUGUAGUAAUUUGUGGUUGUAUUCGGAAGUUUAAUGUAAAAGAAACUAUGAUGUAAAAUGUAUCUAAGUUGAAUGUUGUAAUAACUUAGUAGUAUUAUGUGUUUGAUACUUCCUUAUGCAAUCUAUGAAUGAAUACUGUUCCUGGUUGGGACCUCUUGUAUUGUGUGGAUUGCGACGCCUUGGACGUACAGGGGAGACUCUGUCCGUUCGGCGGUCUGUUAACGUGCCCGAACUCGACCAAAUUGGCGGGGCGCGGGGCGUGACAGAUAAGAUAGUAUCAGAGUAUAAAGUAGAAAAUAGGAAUGGUUUAGGCAGACCUAGGACACCCUAGGAUAGUAAACCAUAGGAGACCCUAGGAUAGUAAACCAUAGGAGAAUAAGGCUCAUGAGAGACGAGGACUUGUGAUUCGUGGCGAAAGGUUGACGGAUUGGGUUGUGUCAAAACCUCUAAAACAUAUAUUAGAGGUAGAUUCAAGGUAAUGUUUAUUCUCAUCCGAGGGUGCUCAUGUUGGGUGCACACAAUAUGAAAUCGAGUGAUGAGAAUAGACACCCUUGUGUGACUUUCGCCUGAUUGGCUUUUGAGCCGGUAUUAGUAGUCUCAUGUUCGACCCAAGAUGGUCGAGAACUAAUCGAGUUGUCGUGUUUCAGGAAACGAUGGCACCGCGUAGGCGAUCUUCAUCCAGAUCAACGUGGGAGGGGACAAGUGGUGUCCCUGAGCAAACCGACGCGAGCGGAGGCUUAGAGCUUCGCAGUUAUGUAUAGUUCAGUUUUAAAGUUUUAAAAUUACAGAGAAUACUUGUAUAGUUUAGUUACUUUCACUUGUUCCUAUUGCUUGCCCUCGUGCAAGCCAUAUAUAUUGAAAUGUUAUUCUGGGAAUUGUUUAUUUCUUUAUACAUGUACUCAUUGUUGUUGAGCCUUGGGCGGAUAGGGGAGGUUCUAUUCGUUCGGUGUCUGUGUACGAACUCGAAUCGACCAAAUUGGUGAUAGCGGGACGUGACAGAUUAAAUGGUAUCAAAUACUUUCUCUUUUAGUUGAGAUUUUGGGUUGUGUACCCUUUGUUCUAUUGUUGAUAGUUUUAUUGACUUCUACUAUGCUCUGAUAUCAGGAUAGGAUUCUUUUAUGUUUUACUCCUAUCGACCUGCUUCUUGUAGAUGCCUUAUAUACUGCAGGUGUAUGGCGGGUCUGUGCACGUACCGGAUAUGCUUCCGCUGGUACCCGGGCGUGACAUUUAUGUACCGAAUCGUGCAGGAUAGGAUGUGGAGGUGCGUACGUGCAAAAUACACGCGUGGGCAGGGACUCGGAUGAGAAUAUUCAAUUUUGGGGGACGUUUCUGCAAAAUGCCUCCUGUAUAUAAGCUUGCAACUAGGGUUUCUUUGCAAGAAACCCUAGAUCUAGCCAACCUACUUCCCCAACCGUGCCCUAGCUAGCAUCAGCAGGUCCCUGCCCUAACCAUGCGCGCACCAUGGCCGCCGGCAGGUGCCCCGGCCGCCGAAAAAUAGGAACCCGGCCACCUCUCAUUCGUUCUCUCUCAACUAAUCCUCCACCCUCCUCGGUCUUGGAGCUCAGGAAGCCACUAACUGUGUAGGACCACUUUCCCCUGGCCGAGAUCAACCUCUGACGCCGAUCUCGCCGGCCCCCGCCGUCCCCGUGCACUGCCGGCGCUGCCCGAGCAAGCUGCGGUCAACAGCGGUCACCCAGACCGAGCCUGGGUGAUCUAUGUUUCUGCACGCCGCCGCCGCUCCCCGCCGACAGUGCGGCCCUCCAAACACCUCCGGCGUGCAUCCCCGGACGUCCCUGAAGCCGCCGGCCGACGCUCUUCCACUCUGCGGCCGCCCAGAGCUUGUGCGGGCCGAGGUCGAGCCACCUCGGCCACCGCACGACGCUGCCGCACACGGAGGGGUGCAUUAUGAUCCCCUCGGCCUCCGGCGACUGAUUGACGUCGCCCCAACCUCCUCCGGCCGCCGUCGCGCCGCCGGGAAGCCUUGAACCCGAGAGCAGUUGGCGGGCUUGAUCUCCUCCGCCGCGCCACCGGCUGCCGCCCGCCGCCGGCCAGCACCUACCUCGGACCUCUCAAACCGGCCGCUUUCAUUCUUGGUCGGAGCGCUCGCCGUCCGGCCGCUGAAGACCAACCCUAGCUCCCACUGCUCCGGUAUGCUAUUAUUUUAAGUUCCAGCACUGUAGUUUGGGGUUCCGGUUGUCUUUCCGGCAAUCCGAAGGCACCCUGAUGACUGUGGGAGGGAGCACAAUCAUCGUUAUUUCAUUCUGAACAUCAUGCUCACCUUCGUUGGGGUCAACGGUGCCCCGGUUUGCGCGUUAGAAGCAUUAUUUGCGCUGUACGCGCUGCUUCGUGAUUGUCGCAUCGCUUGUGCGCUUCCCACAGUGGAUGGAACUGCUCUGAAAGGUGAGCACAGCCUCCGGCAUACUGAGACCUAUCAACAGGUGUCUCGGUUUGGCAAAAGAGUUAACAGAUUGCUCGGUUGGACCAUAAAAGCUUAGAAAUCACAUAAAAUAAUGGGAUUUCUUGCAAUCGGGAGGGCUUUUAUGCUUUUUGUUCGUUGUGGCUGCUGUUGGCAGUAAGUAUGAGCUGAGGAUAACCUAUGGACUGAUCGUCCAAGGCCCCAAGCCUUGUCGAAAAUCGGAAAGUGAUUUUCGGAGCAUUUCUUGGCGAAAUCCGCCGACGGAACGCGGGUUCGGUUCGGAAUUAUUCCGAUGGUGCUUCGUGAGAUAUUGUGUAGUCGCUGAGCCUUGUUGGCUGGCCACUCGCGUCAUUUCGAGAGUUCAGAAAUGACGGGUGAGCGACGGUGGGUUCCGGUGUCGAAAUUAACACUUCCGGGAACCCGGAUCGAAACGAUUAUCCGACGAUAAUUGUUUCGACGUGAGGAGUUAUGUUUUCUGUCAUGAUGCACGAUUAAUUAUGUUUAGUGGCAGCGGGUGACUCGUAGCGUGAGUCGGUGUGUUUCGGGACAGUUAGUGGGUCCCGGCGGAGUCCCGGUGCGAUUUUCGGGACUUCCGACGUGUUCGGCAAUCGGUUUUGGGAAACCGAUUCCUGUGGGGCUAUGAGUGGGGAUUGUGUGUUAGCGAUUUGUGUUAGUAGGUUAGAUUCUAACCCGGUGGACCAUUCUUAGGUCUAGUUGACGUUCUUUUGCAGUCAGGAGACAGGAGCGACAUUCGUAGAGGUGGGUACUUCAAUCCGACGUCGGUACAGUGGUGCAUGCUCGGUGAUGGUUUCUUACCCUUGCUCUUUUGUUAUUAUCCAUGCAUAUACUAUAUGUUGAGCUUUGCACCACUAUUGUUUACAUUACACUCUACUCAGAUGUUCCCAUGCUUAGUAUCAGGUGUAGGAGUAGAGUAGUCUAUCUAUUUGUGAUACCUAUGACCUGGUUGGUCGAUUCUUGUACUUCGUAUCAGUGACCUGAUUGGUCGAUUCUCGUACUUCGUAUUAGUGACCUGGUUGGUCGAUUCUCGUACUCCGUAUCAAUGACCUGGUUGGUCAAUUCUCGUACUUCGUAUUAGUGACCUGGUUGGUCGAUUCUCGUACUCCGUAUCAGUGACCUGGUUGGUCGAUUCUCGUACUUCGUAUUAGUGACCUGGUUGGUCAAUUCUCGUACUUCGUAUUAGUGACCUGGUUGGUCGGUUUAUAUAUGUCGUAUCUGUGACGCAUUUGUCGGUUCUUGCAUCUACACUUUUGUUAACCCUUGAGCAGUAUUUGCAUACUUCUGAGAGGAUGUUGAGUUGUUCCAUCCUAGUUGACCUAAGUGGUCAGUUCUUGUUCUUCCUUAUAGUUGAUGACCUAUACGGUCGGUGAGCCCUGUUGGCAGGAUUGUCGGUUGGUUGCUGACGGUUGAUCAUUGAGCAUAUUGCAUUGAUCGCUCGAUACUCGUCGCAUUUCACGAACACUGGCGGUCUGAUCCACCGCAAGGGGUGUUCUUUUCCGAAAAAGUGGUUGCAGGUGUCAACCCGUGAGCCCUAGAGGGGUUAUAUGCAUGGUUGAGUGGCAGUGGUACUGUUAGGAGGUUUGCGGUGCAAACUUCCAGGGCAUAGGCUUGAGGUUUGCGGUGCGGACCAACAGAGCAGCAGAUUCCAGAUUGGGUAUAUUUGGUCUAUACAUCCGGUUGAUGCAUAUGUCUAUAGUAGCAGUCGUUGCAUGCAUACUUACAGUUCUUGCCUUAUAGUUGUCUUGCUACUAUAGUAUAUAUCUAUGUUUGCCUUUUGUUCUAGUUACAGUAGCGGUAGUCUAGUUACUACCUUCAUUAUUUGUGUAGUUUAGUUACUACCUUCGUUAUUUCUGUUGAUAUGACUUAGACAUCUAUAUGGUUCAGUAUUUUAUUAUGUAUAAUUAUUCAAGAUUUCAGUUGGUUUUCCUAAUGAGAUAAAGAUUUCUGGAUUUUUGUAAAAAGGAAAGGUUUUCUACCCCUCGUGGUAGCGUGUUUUAAAAAGAAAAGGUUUCCGUGUGGGAAACAGCUUUCAAAAGAGUUUUCUCAUUAUUUUCUUGAAUUAGUAUUUCAAAAUAAGUUUCUGGCUAGGAAACAUUUCAACUGAUAGUUGUGGAUUUAUAUUCAGAUUAAUGUUUAUGAACCUGUGGUGAAUGGUGUAUGGAUAUUGAAUGUAUAAUGACUUGUAUAUUCAUUUAGUUGUGGUUGUAUCAUAUUUUACAUCUUGUACUUGUGCGACGCCAUGCAAAUACAGGGAAGACUCUGUCCGUGUGAACAGUGGAAUCCCUGUAUUUAUGGCGGAUUUGGCAUACCCUGUGGUCAGGUUUUCAAAAAAAAAAAUUUCUAGUCACUUCCGCUGUAUUUUCAAACUAAAAGGGACCCCGGGGCGUGACAGAUCAUAGCGCUCGAAUAGCUCAUUUCGAACGGUUCGACCAUCCUGGACGCAAUGGCACUGACGAAAUUGGAUUCUGAUGCACGGUUGUCGAGAAAAAGGGGUUUGAUUGGUUUCACAUGUAGUAAUAUAAGUGGCUACAAAGUGAAAACAAAAGAGGGAUAGUUUUGACGCAAAUCGAAAACCAAAUCGGACAAAGUUGUUAGGUCCUAUGUGUUGGCAAGUUUCGUGGGUCGAGUCGGAGUCUUGAAGAAGUCUGGAGCGGCGUAUUGAAGAUCGAAGAAUCCAAAACUUCGAAGAAUCGGAAAGGACGCAAAACACGCAAAACAUGAAUCACGAUGCUUUAAAUCUUGUUUAAGGUGAUUCAUACUUAAUUAUAGAUUUUAGAAUCAUGUUUUCAAGUUAUAAUUGAUUAGAAAGUUUCUAAAAGCUUAUAAAACUCGAAACAAUGCAUUUUCAGCGAAAAUUGCAUUGUUGUAUCGGUACAAGAGUUUUCUGUCCAGGGUACAGCCAUCAGCGUUUGCGCAGAAAAGUUUGAUGGUUGUUCCGGUACAACCAUCAUGGCUGUCCAGUGUCCAAGCCCUGUUUCGGUACAAGAUGCAAUCUGUCCAGGGUACAGAAGCUUCGCAGAAAAAUCUUCCGUCAUGCUGUACCCUGGACAGCUUUUCUUGUUCAGGUAUAAGGUGCUGAUUUUGGAAAAAAACUUUCUAAUCCUACUCUGUUUUGAUUCUAAAGUUUAUAAAUAAGCUAUAGGGAUUCUCUAACUGAUUAAGCAUCAUAAGAAUACAUGUUUGAGAAACCCUAGAGGCUCGGAUUUUAUUCUAAACCUAUUUUCUACAUAAAGCCUCUUUUAGGUCAAAUCGAGAUAUUGAAUUUUCAUAUCUAUAUGUCGAUUUGAUCUCCGCUUUGCUUGGAGUUCUAUUCCCUAGUUUUCUACGAUACUCCUAAGCGAAGGAUCACCAUAAUCAUGAUGCUUUUCAUGAACGGCGUCGUGGAUUCGGCGUGAAUAAAGGUGGUUCGUGGAUUCGGAUCGUUGGCUCGUGGAUUCGAGUGGCGUCGUGGAUUCGGCGUAAUUGAAGCUUCGUGCAUUUGAAGUGGAGGCGUUCGUGGACUCGAACGUGAGGGCGUGGACAACCCGGAGAGUAGCGCGAAGAUUCAUAGGAGGUUAAGAGAGGUUGAGUUCAUGGAGUCGGUAAUCACCUUGUAAUCUUUUCUCUUAGUGAAUUAUUUUUUCGUGUGUUGGUCCCGUGGGUUUUUCUCCAAGUUGGAGUUUUCCCACGUAAAUCUCGGUGUGCUUUUUAUUUUCCGCAUUUAUUUUUAUUGCAUCGAGAUUUGUGGUUUUUGGCCGUACACCUAUUCACCCCCCUCUAGGUGAUAGAUACAAUCUAGAUAGAUCCUUGGGCUCCUCAAAACUUUCACGGAUCAGAAAAUUGGUGGGGUGAGAACUACAAAAAAUUUCCCAGUGGGUUCGGCCGCCGACCCCAUCGACUUUCCCACUAGGUCUAAUCAGGCGUAAGUAGAAGAACAGAUAGAUAGAUAGCCAUUUCUAAAUAAAUGCAGCUACUAUGCCUGAACAAGAAUAAUAACCAAUAUAUGAUGCUCAUGAUGCAUGCCAAUUGCCAUUUUCAAUACCCAAUCCUCUUGGCUAAUGUAACAUAUUGAACUUCUACAAUUAUGAAGUUUCGGUGAGCUUAGAAAGUUGUUGGAGCAGUUUCGACGAAGUUCGGGAACGUUCGAGUGUUUUCGGUACGCGUUGGGCGCGAAAACGAAACUCGAAAAGCUAUGAUUGGACCUUGGCCGAAAUUCGGCAAGACAUGGAUGAAAAGAUGGUUUAAACGUGCUAAAAAAGGUGUUUUGGGGGUCUCGGUACGAUUAGAGAUGAAUCAGAGACCCAACGAGUGAAAACGAGUGAAAACGGAGAAGAAAUGGCGAAAGGCUGAAAUUUGGCUAAGUGCUGAAAUUUGCAGAAUUUCUAGACCUACGGGGUCCAGACCCUGAGUGUAAGGUCCGGAGCCCAAGCCCGAAAAUUGCCCAAGUAGAGUGGCAUUCUUGUAAUUAAGUGGUGGGGGUUUGACUUUAAAGGGGGGCCAUCUUCUUCCUCCCUCUCCCUCAGCCAUUUACACACACAUACACACACACCUUGGUAGUGAGAGAAACACCUCUCCCUCUCUCUAGAUUCCCACUUCCCCUCUCUAGAUCUCUCUCCCAUAAUUGGAGGCUUGGUGGAGAAGAGGCUUGGGGACGCAUGUGGAGCGUCGAAUCGGGUCUUCGUGCACCCGGUGGAGCGGUGUGCUUUCGACUCGGCGUUCGCAUUUUGGUGGGUGUUUAGGAUUUGGUUAAAUCCUUCAUGCAUGAGGUUCUAGUGGUAUCUAGAGUGUUUCUAGCAUGUUUCUCCAUUUAAUUUUGGAUUAUUUGGAGAGUGUAUUCAUGCUAGGGUUAGAAUGAGGGUUUUGGGAUUUGGAGGGUUUUGAUCUAAAUUAACCGUAUAUUUCUCUAAUUGGAGGUUAGAGAAGGGUCCCUGACAACCCUAGGUCGUGGAUUGGUGGGCAUUCGGUGGUCGAGUGCGAGUUCGAGCCGAACCGGACAACGAGUGACGUGGGAGCCCAAUUGCAAGUGUCGAUAAGCAGUCAAAGAGCAAUACGAGGUGGGUUGUGAUCACCGAAGAGAUUAGAUCACUUCCAUGUCGAAGUGAAGUAUUAUUUAUCAUUGAUGCAUAUAAUGAUAGUUAAUUGGAAAGCAUAUGAAUGCAUAACAUAAAUGCUAUGUUGGACUACCAUUGGAUGAUAAUGAUGAUGUAUGGUUCUUAUUGGUGCAUAUAUGUAUAGUGGUAGGUUGUGAAUGAUAAUAUGAAUGCAUGAAUCAUAUUAUGUUAGUUGAUGUACCUACCAUUGGGAUAUGCAUGUGAACAUUAUGAGAACAUGCUAGAUGAAGUAUGCAUGUUGUAAGAUGUUGAAUCCUCGUUGUAUUAAACCACUUUUGGUCAAAAUGACCAAAGCGUGGCGAGAAGGAUGCUUGGACGUGAUCCAUGUGACAUUCCAACAAUAUUGGAAGGGUUAAAGUUGAGUCCCGAUGAGACUAGAAAGGUUUUAGCAUUGCUCGGCGUGAAAUGGAGCUUAAGGCAUUGCUAAAACUGCAGUUGGUUCACUGCGUACCGGUACUGAGGAGGUGGUACCGGUACCAGGCAGGCAACCGAGAGCAGCUGCUCUCGGGUUUGGACAUUUCGGGACUACGUACUAGUACAGCAUCGGGGCGUACCGGUACCCCGCUGCAGAUCGAGGAUAGCAGCUCUCGGGUUUGGCCUCUGCGUAGUGGCGUACCGGUAUGGCUUCGAGGCGUACCGGUACCCUGCACUGCAAACAGCAGGUUGCAGUCUGUUGUAAAUAGCAAUUGUUUUGGGGCUUUAUUACAAUUGUGGCAGCUUAUAAAAGGCCCCACCUCCUCCUCUCUUGUUCACAGCCAGAGAACAUCCCCUUCACUCCAUUUUUCUUUCUCUCUCUCUCUAGAAGCUCUCUCAAGGGUGGAUCUAAGAGGAGGGAUUGGUGGAGAUUGAAGUUUGAAGGUGGAUUUCAUCCUCUUCCUUGGUCUGGAGGAGCUUACAGAGGUAAGCUUCAAACCCUCUCAUGGUGGAUUUCUAGGGUUUGAUUCUUAUGCUCUAGAAUCGGUUUUAAUUAAACCCUUAGAUGUUGAAUAGAUGAUUAUUGCUUGAAUCAUGAAGCUAUACGAUGGAUUCUUGCAAUAGUUAUGAUCUAGGGUUCCAAAGUGGGUUUUGUUGGAAUGAGAUCUAAAGUUGGGAUUGAUCUCUUUUAUACCUAAUUGCUAGGUAAUCGAGCGCGUUGGUAAACUCGGUUCGGCGAUCCGACGAGUCUGUGCGGAGGUAUUAAAGAAAAGCUUGUUUUUGGCUUUGUUUGCCGCAGUCGAGAGAAAUAGGCGGCAAAAAAUUACGAAACUUGGAGUCUAGCUUCGUGGCAUCACCAGAAGGUGAGGGGUGUCCAUCCCAAAGCAGUUGAAUUUCCUCCUAUGUCUGAGUUGUUUUAUUAUAGCAGUUGAACAUAUUAUAGCAUAUGUUCAUAUAUUGUUUUAUUAUAGCAUAUAUUCAUAUAUUGAAUUUCCUCCUAUGUCGGAGUCAAAGAUCUCAGCAAAAGUCGUCAACUUGAACAGUUGCACGGCCUCGUAAAGUCCCGGCCGAAGUCCUCGCAAGAACCAGUCGGCCCGGUCCCGGUCGUCUCUAACCACAUCCGGGAUGCAAUCAAUUAUGUGGGAGAAUUCUUGCUUGUAGUCCACUACCGACCGAUCUCUUUGCCUUAGUUUGCGAAACUUCUCUUGUAGCUUCCGCUUUACGGUGUCGGGGAAGUAGUUCGCGAACAUCGCUCUUUUGAACUCCUCUCAUUGCAUAGGCGGAAGAUCGGAAGAUCGAUCCCACUUUACUCGCUUCCACCAUACCUUCGCCGCCUUUUCUAAGCAAUGCGUGGCGAGUUGCACCUUAUCCUUCUCCAAGGUGUAUAUAUCCUCGAAGAGUGACUCCAUCGAGUCAAUCCAUGCCUCCACCAUUGACGGCUCCACUUUGUCUCCGUCGAAUAUCGGUGGAUUGAACUUCUUGAACAUAACGAGAGCCGCCAACGCACGCUCCCGCUCCGCCUCUACCGCCGCACCUUCGGGGUUUGAGGUUCCCGAUCCAGCCGGCACCAUCGUGAUGGGCACAGCUGCCACUGCCGCCGCUCCCUCGACUACACUUGGCACCACCGCAGGGGGCGCAGGAGACUCAUCACUCCAAUGUGCUGCCGCCGCCUGCUGUCGCUCUAAGGCUUCUUGAAGCCUCUGAAUUUGCUCUCCUUGAUGUUGAACAGACUCCGCUUGUUGCCGCACCACGCCAAUAAGCGCGGCCAUUUGCUCCCGAAGCUCAUCGUCGCCACUUGCUCUGGAUUACUCGGGCGCUGCAUUCGGCUCUGUUGAAGCAUAAAAAAAAAAAAAAAAAAAAAAAAAAAAAAAAAAAAAAAAAAAAAAAAAAAAAAAAAAAAAAAAAAAAAAAAAAAAAAAAAAAAAAAAAAAAAAAAAAAAAAAAAAAAAAAAAAAAAAAAAAAAAAAAAAAAAAAAAAAAAAAAAAAAAAAAAAAAAAAAAAAAAAAAAAAAAAAAAAAAAAAAAAAAAAAAAAAAAAAAAAAAAAAAAAAAAAAAAAAAAAAAAAAAAAAAAAAAAAAAAAAAAAAAAAAAAAAAAAAAAAAAAAAAAAAAAAAAAAAAAAACAGAAGAAGCAAAAAAAAAAUCUCUCUUUCUCUCUCUCUCUCUCUCUGAAAUGAGCAUCCGCCAUGGCCAAAGCCCACGAGAGCCUCCGACUACGACGACGACAACGGCGAACGUCGGCGUCUCCCUCGCGCUACUCGGGUUUUCCGUAGUCGCCGUCGACGCCGACGUGGGGCUCCGGAACCUCGACCUCCUCUUGGAGCUCGAGAACCGCGUCAACUAUGCUAUCUCCAAGGUCUUCGGCGGCGACUGCCGCCUCGACUAGGCAUUCCCGAGGCCGCUCGCUUCCUCACCGACCCCUGCGCCGCCGAGGCCGCUCGCUUCCUCGCCAUGGAGCGGCUCCUCGAGGAGUGCUCCGAGCUCCGCGGCCGCGCUGUGCUCGUCCAGAUCGCCAACCCGGCGCACAGUCAUGGCCGCGACGUCGAGGAGGUGGCCGACGAGGCCCGUUCCGUCACCCGCCGCAUCAACGCCCGCUUCGGCCGCCACGGCUACGACCCCAUCGUCUUCGUCGACCACCCCGUGUCGACCUUCGAGAAGGCCGCCUACUACGCCGCCGCCGAGUGCGUCGUCGUCAGCGCCGUCCGCGACAGCCUCAACCGAAACUGCCCACUCCAUCAAAGCGCAGCUCGAGGCCCUCGACGACUCCAACGUCGUGGCCGCGCCUUCUCCCCGCGCUUCGCCGCGGGGACCUCCUACAAGGUGCCCGAUGGAGCGGCGACCCCAUGGAUCCGCCAUGGUCCUCGCCGGGCGCGUCCGCGUCUGCUGCUCCGGCGUCGACCUCACCGCCGCCGGGAACGUCUUCAAGGGCGACAUCAAAGACCCCAACGCCGACCCUGUCGCCGCCAUGGCUGCGUGCCGCAAGCCCAUCGCCGGCGCCGUCGCCGGAUUCGCCGUCACUGCUGGGUUCGAGAUCGCCUUCGCCUGCGACUUACUCGGCGGGCCGCGACGCCAAGUCCGUCAACACCGCCGUCGCGUCUCCACCGAACUCCGCUGAGCGCCGCCGCGUCUCCACCAAGCUCCACUGAGCGCCUCCGCGAACCCCAGAAGCUCAUCAACAUCUGCGACGGCAUCAUCUCUCUCGACUACGCCGACAUCCAUACCUACCAUGCCCGGGUAGAGGCCGAGCUCAUCAAUAUCUGCAGUGGCAUCCUCCACUUGUUCGACGAAAUUCCCAAACGAAACCAGAGGGAGCCCGAUCGGAUCGGCGGCGAUCGGAACAGCCCCGAUGAGAUCUUGACAUGGAGACCAUCGUCGCUGACAGCCGCGCCGCCACCCGCGGCAGAUCCGCCCGAAGCCACGCAGAGGCUCCGUCGAAGUCGCCGUCACCCGAAGCCGCGCCACCCGUGGCCGGUCCUCUCGAAGCCGCGCCACCCGCGGCCGAUCCGCUUGAAGCCGCGCCACCCGCGGCCAAUUCGUCGAGGCCCAUGCCGAGCCGCCGCCCAUGACUCUGCUCGUGAUCUCGGCCGAUCCGUCGACGCCCGCGCGCCGUCGUCGACUUUGAUGGCUCGAACCCGAGGAGUCCCCUCUGAUGCCGCGUCGCGCCACCCGCGGCAGGUCCGCCCGCAGCCCCGUCGAUGCCGCGCCACUGUCGUGGCCCUUCACCGCUGCAGAGCGUCGUCGUCACGGCCCUCCUCCGUCGCGGUCUCAGAUCCGCGGCUCCACUGUCAGGUCACAGCCCCAGCAGAGCUCCGUCAUCAACAAAGCCCACCAACCGCUCGACGGCGAACCUGUGAGAGAGAGCGAUGCUCUCCUCUCAAACGGAGUUCGCCCACCAACCGUUCGACGGCGAACCUGAGAGAGAGAGUGGUGCUCUCCUCUCAAACGGGUUCCGCCCGCCAAGUGCUCGAUGUACCCGGAGUCCGCCCACCAACCACUCGACGGCGAACCUGAGAGAGAGAGCGGUGCUCUCUUCUCAAAUGAAGUUAGAUCCGCUCGCCAAGUGCUCGACGGCGAAAUUGAGAGAGAGAGAGCGGUGCUCUCCUCUCAAAUGAAGUCAAGUCCGCCAACCGCUCCGACGACGAAUCCGAGAGAGAGAGCGGUGCUCUCCUCUCAAACAAAGUUCGCCCGCUAAUUGCUCGGUGGCGAAUCAUAAAGAGAGCGAUGCUCUCAUUUACCGACCAAUCAUUCGACAAAAUAUUUCGUCGUCGACGUGCUAAUCAAACCGCUCGAUGGAAUGCCGAGAUGAACAUUGAUGGUGCUCUUUGCAAAAUAUCACCAAAAAGAGAGAUCACUCUAAAAGAGAGAGAGAGAGCUUUGACAAAAUCACAUUAGACACUUCAAAUUAAAUUGAAAUUUAAUUUGUUAUUCAAAUCCAGAAUUUGAAGAAAAUGUAUAUGAAAAUCUUAAUUGAUCAAAACAUUUUUUUUUAAUAAAACCUCGAGACAUGAAUCUAGGCCCGAUCAUAUGGACCUAAGUCAUUGAACCUCAACCCAUCCGUAUUAAAUCAACACUUUGACUCUAAACCCAUUUAACCCAAUCUAAUCUAAACCCAUUAACCUUAACCUCACUCAAAAUCCAUUAACCGUUACCUAUAACCCAAACCUAUAACCCAAUCCAAUUAAACCUUAGCCCAAUUCUAAAUCCAUAACCUAUAACCCAAUCCAAUUAAAUCUAGGCCUAGUCCAAAGCCCAGAGCCCAUUUACAAAUGGCCCCAGUCCAAAACCCAUUUGGGCCCACUAUCUAAACCCAUUAUCCAAAACUCAUUAAAACCAUUAACCCAUAAACCCAUAUACAUAAACCUAUAUACAUUUACCCAUGAACCCAUACACAUUUAACCCAUAUUCAAGCCCAUAACCUUAACCAAGUCCAUGAACUUUGAACCAAAACCAUGGACCAAACCAUACACCAAAUCCUGUGGACCAUACCAUACACCAAAUCCACGAACUAUGAAUCAAGUUCAUGAAUCAAAUCAAGUUCAUGAGCCAAGGAUCAUAAACCACAACCCAUCUACCAAGUCCAUGAACCAUAAACCCAUACACCAAGUUCAUGAACCAUAAGUCCAUGAACCAUAAACCCAUGAACCAUAAGUUCAUGAACCAUAAACCCAUGAACCAUAAACCCAUGAACCAUAUCCAAGUUCAUGAACCAUAAUCCCAUAUACCCAAUACCAUAAACCUUGUGAACUAAAUCAAUCGAUCGACCGAAACGUCGUUAAACUAAUCCACCAAAUCAAUCGACCGAAAUGUCGUUAAACUAAACUCAAAUUCAAUUUUCACGAACAUCCCAAUUCCCAAAAUAUUCGAUUCUCUAGCAUAUAAAAUUAGAGUCAAAUCACAAUCAUGUUCAAACUUGAUCAAAUUCUAAACCUAUAUUUAGAAUUGAUCAAACCAUCUGAUCAAAUUAAUUUGUUGGAUUCCAAUACAUACACUUGGAGUUUAAUUUAAAUCAAAUCUGACUAAUCCUAAUACAUAUAAUUAGGAUUUAGUUAAUAUUUCACCUUGAGAUGAACCAAAAUCAAAUAUGACUAAGCUCUAAUACAUAAACUUAUAGCCUAAUUGUAUCAUACUCUAAAAUAUAAAAUUAGAGUCUAAUUCAAGAUAUUUGGGGCUAAUCCUAACACAUAUAUAUUUAGGAUGAAAGCUCAAAUCAAACUCUAUUGGACUUUAUUACAUAUAUUUAAAGUUCAGAGUUUAAUCAAGUUCCAUUAAAUUCCAAUGUAUAUAUAUGGGAUUUAAUCAAUCUUUCAUCUCAUGGUAAACAAAGUUGAGCUCCAAAAUAUAUAGAGCUCAACAAAAUCUGAUCAUUUAUUGGACUUUAUCACAUACAUUUAAAGUUCAAUUAACCAAAUCAAACUCUAAUACAUAUAAUUAGAGUUUANCUUCCGGAACGUUUUCGGGCUAAAGUAGCCGCGAUCGAAACGGUCAAACAUCCGGACGAGAUGAAAGUCGAGGAAUUAGUAGGUGCUUUACAAACUUACGAAAUGACCUUUCCUACUAAUCAAUCUUCUUCCAAGUCUUCUUCUAAAAGCACAGGUGUUGCAUUGAAAUCUACAAAGGAGAAGGACGAAGACUCGAGUUCCGACGACGAUUUAUCAAUUGCGGACUUUGAACAACAAUUGGCGCUUCUUACGAAGAAGUUUCGUCGAAAUUUCUGGAACAAGAAUAGAUUGGACAAGGCUUCAUCGUCUAAGCGACAAUCUUUGUCUAAAUCAUCUUCAUCUUCAAAGUCUAAGGAUAAAAAUCGUGCAAAGUCUUCAAAGGAAAAGGAUAAAUUUGAAGGAGAGAUCCAAUUCUACAAAUGUAAAGGUUACGGCCACAUUGCGACGGAUUGUCCUUCAAAGAAGACGUAUAGACAAAAGGCUUUGCAAGCAAAGACGUGGGAUGAUUCAACAUCAAGUGAAUCAUCGUCAAGUGACGAAGAAAAGAAUGAUCAAAUUGCCUUAUUUACUAACACUUCUCUACUUUCGUAGAAUGUUGUGUGUUUAUCCUCUUUUGCUCCUAAUUCCAAUAUUUCUCUUUCUUCACAUGAUUCUUCGAGCAACAAUGGCGAAAGUGAGGAGGAAUCAAACGACGACGACAUAGCAGAAGCGUACAAUCAACUUCUCAUUGAAUCAAAGAAGAUGGCUAAACUCAACAAGAAGUUGAGACGUCGUUUGUUGGAACUUGAGGAGGAAAACAACAACGUAAAGAAUUUGAAUAAGGUUCUUGAGGAGGAAAGGGAUUCAAACUUGAAGAUUAAUUCGGACCUCCAAGAGAAGCUUAAUGAAGCGGAAUCAACGAUCAAAUCUUAUAAAGAUAAGGUUGGAUUUUUGGAGCAACAAUUCGAGGAAUCGCACACAUCCAAUAAGUCUUUGACCAAUCAAGUUCGUCAACUUCAAUUCGACAUUCAACGAUUUUCUUCCGGAUCAAAGAAACUAGAUCACAUGCUCGGAUUGGGUCAAACAAACAAGCUCGGACUCGGAUAUGAACGAACAUACGUUGAGAAGGAUUCAAAAUCAACUUCUAAAGUCUCAACAACUUCGAAAGACAAGGUGUGUCAUAAAUGUGGCAAGAAAGGACACAUUAAAAGGAAUUGCCCAAAUAAGGAAAAGAAGAAUCAAUCGGCAAUAUCUAAACCUCAAACGGCAUCAUCUACAACUCGACUUCCCCUGCGGAAUCAAAAGAAAAAUCAAGUUAGUCGAGUACCUCAAAAGAACCGGAUUUCUAAUGCACAACGCCAAGUUCAUGCAAAACAGGUGCAUAAGCCUCAACAACAAAUUCAACCGAAGCCUAAACCGAAGAAAUCACCAACGGUUGAUCAAAAAUCUAAACAAAUGGCACCUAACGUCGACAAGUCGAGAAAACCAACGAUCCGACAAGUUUGGAUCCGGAAAGGUGAUAUCUUUCCUUGCUCCUCGUCUUAGUCAUUUUUUGAUCUUUAGUGUGAUGCUUUGAUAGGUGCUUGUUGCAUAAUUUUAUUCAUUGCAUUACAUGUUUACAUAAUUUUUGGUGCUUGAAUUUUAUUGGUUUAUAAAUCUUUUUGAGGAAAGGUGUUUAGGAAUUCCAAAUUUUUGAGAAAGGAGAUGAUUGAGAAUCAUUAUUUUGAGGAGAGAAAAUUUUCUUUUUUCAAAAUUGUUUAAACGGUGUUUGGAUUCGGUGUGAUUGAAGCUUCGUGGAUUCGAAGUGGAGGCGUUCGUGGACUCGAACGUGAGGGCGUGGACAGCCCGGAGGGUAGCGCGAAGAUUCAUAGGAGGUUAAGAGAGGUUGAGUUCGUGGAGUCGGUAAUCACCUUGUAAUCUUUUCUCUUAGUGAAUUAUUUUUUCGCGUGUUGAUCCCGUGGGUUUUUCUCCAAGUUGGAGUUUUCCCACGUAAAUCUCGGUGUGCUUUUUAUUUUUCGCAUUUAUUUUUAUUGCAUCGAGAUUUGUGGUUUUUGGCCGUUCACCUAUUCACCCCCCUCUAGGUGAUAGAUACAAUCUAGAUAGAUCCUUGGGCUCCUCAAAACUUUCUAAAGUAAGAUGCUAGAGUCGAUGCCUCAGUCGUGCUGAACGCGCUGGCGCAAUCCAUUUGAAAAUCCGACGGACGGAUCUUCGGGAAUCGUGAAAAGUCUGCUGAGAGGUCAAUUUGGCAAAAUCGAAUAAUCGUGAAAAGACCCUAUAUUUCAUGCACCGUUUCACGAGAUUUCGAAUGUCGAGGGGCUGGCAUGCAAGUUACACAUGAAGGCGGGGGCAGGAUUAUAAUUAUUUGACUUUGAAGGGGUUCCUCGCAAAAUGACACCUUGUAUAAAAGUGGCGUCUAGGGUUUUCCAUGGUUCUUUGGCUGCCUACGUUCACCUAGCUAACCCUAGCCGCCCCACCUACACCUUGCCCUGCCUAUACGCACACCCGGACUGCCGGUGAGCAGCUACGGCCGCCGGAAAAGCCACCCCGGCCUCCCAUCAACUCCUCGUUAGACCCACCUCGCCACCAGCUCAGUUGUUGUGCUCGGGGAGGCAUCAAAGCCCGAGCUUCAACAUCCCCUGGCUGAGGCCCAUCCCUAGCGCCGUCCCCGCCGGCCUCCGCCGUCCCCGCGCGCCGUCGGAGCCACCCUAGCUCCCUACGGCUAGCUGCAGUCACCCAGGCUGAGUCUAGGUGAUCUCUGCCUUCGCGCGCCGCCGCUGCUCCCCGCCGCCGCUCCCCGCCGGCCGCGCCGCCCUCCUCGCAUCUCUGGCGACCUCCCGCUCGCCAUCCCGGCCAUCCCCGUGGACCACCGGCCGCCACUUGUGCACCUUGCGGGCGCCCUGGGUUGGUGCGGGCCGAGGUCGAGUCCGCUCGACUUCCAAGCGCCGCCGCCGUCCAAUGAAGGGUGCACCGCCUCUCCCUCGGCCUCCGGCGUCGAAUCGUCGCCGCCUUGAGCUCCUCCGGCCGCCGCCUUGCUGCCGACGCCCUUGAAUCCGUGAGCAGCCUUAGGGAGCUAAUCUCCGCCGCCACGCCACCGGCCGCCUCCAACCACCGGCCAGCGGGUGCCACGGACUUCACCUACCGGCCGCGCCCUCCCGUGGCUGGACCGCCGGCCGUCCGGCCGCCGGCGACCAACCCUAGCUCUCCCCGGUUCCAGUAAGGCUGUUUUAUGUUCCAGCACUGAAUUCUUAGAUUCCGGUCACCUUUUCGGUGAUCCGUUAAGCCUUCUAGACCUCGGGAAGUGAGCACGAUGAUCUACAACAUGUGCUGAACAUCUUGCUCACCUCUGACAGGGACAGAGAUGCCCUGGAUUGUGCAUUAAUGGCAAUCUUAGCGCUGUGCGCACUGUUUCACUGAGUUUCAUGUCGCUCGUGCGCGUGCCACAGUGGCCGGCAAUUCUCCAAAAGGUGAGCACGGCCUCUGGCACGCUGAAACCUAUCAGCGAGCACGACGGUUUGCCUAAUCGAUCUCUGGUUUGCGUGCACGGUCCAGAAAAGCCUAGAAAUCACAUAAAGUGAUGCGAUUUCAUGUAUCGGUAAUGGUUUUUCGGGUUUUUGCUUCGAUGUAGCUGCUGUUGGCAGCAAGGGUAGGCUGAGGAUAACGUCUGGAUUGAUCGUCCAAGGCCCCAAGCUUUUGCGAAAAUCGAAAAGUGAUUUCCGGAGCGUUUUUCGGCGAAAUCCGCCGAUAGAACGCAUUUUCGAUUUGGAAUUCAUCCGACGGUGUUUCGUGGUUGAUUGUAGUGUCGCUGAGCCUUGUUGGCUGGUCACCCAUGUCGUUUCGAGGGUUCAGAAAUGACGGGUGAGCGACGACGGAUUCCGGUGUCGAAAUAGACACUUCCGGGAACCCAAAUCGGAACGAUUAUCUGACGAUAAUCGUUCCGCAUCGAGUUAGCGUCUUUGCUGCCUUGUCACACUAAAAUAGGUGCUUAGCGGCAGUGAGCAACUCAUAUGAUGAGUUGGGUAGUUUCGGGACGGUUCGUGGGUCUCGGCGGAGUCCCGGUGUAGUUUUUUUGUGACUUCUGGUGAGUUCGGCAACCGGUUUUGGGAAACCGAUUCCCGAGGGGCUAUGUGUCAUGCCCCGGGACCGGCGGAGGCCCUCCCGGUAGCGUGCCCAGACCCGCCAUAUGUCUACACAUAUAAGGCGUCUACAAUAAAAGCGAAAGUAAAAGCAAGUAAUAGAACAAAUAGAAAAAGUGAAAUAACUAGCAACUAAUGAUAUCAGAGCGAGUAAAGUUCUAACAUCUACACCAAAGUAAAGAAGUAAAGCUAGACAAUAAAAGAAAUCAUAAGUAGUACAAUAUCUGUCUCUAAUACGAAAAUGGUGGUCUCUAGUACACUGGCAAAACCCUCAACCUCUCGGAAAGACAAGUAAAUAUCGAGAGGUAGACCACCUAACAACUCGUCCUCGAAGGAAGCUAGCUCGAAGCAACUCCCUUCCCGCGAUCCCUGGCCUCACCCUGCGUGGAAGGCUCUGAAAAACAUCGAGAAAAAGAGGGCGUGAGAACUAUAAUUUAUAGUUCCCAGUGGGCAAUUACUGACCUCAGCUCAAUGCACCACUAGGCCCCAAAAGAAAAGGGUAAGUAACGACAUAUAGUAAAAUGCAAUAAAUAGCAAACACAAGAACUGCUGAAAGAAAGCAUGAAUGAAAUGCUAUACUACUAUGUCUCCAAUAAGCAUGAUGUCAUGGUGAUGUACAUCUACGCUAUCAUAAGGUAAUAUAUCCAAUGCAUACUAAUAUGCCUCAACAUAAUGAACAAGUAAACCUCACAAUACCAUAUGCCAAAAUAUAAGGAGUACGCUCUAUCAAGAUAACCCAGUAUACUAUGAUGCAAUGCAUGAAACCGGCAAGUGUACUAUAUACCCCAUUGCUAUGUCAUGAGCAUGUCACCUAAUCCAACUACUAAGCCUAUCUAGUAGCGAUUAUUCAUUCUCAACACCGUGUCGAUUUCCAUUUCCAAUCAAGGACCUACCAAAGGUAGUCCAGCUUGUGCCGCCUAAGUGCCUGUGGUAGCCCAACAUCCCUACUCUUGGAAUGUGUCUGUCCCACUCGACCCCGUAGGCUUCUCAAUACCGCACGAGCGAACAUAGGUCGCGUAGGCUAACUCCGGAGUGCCGGCUUGUAGGGAGCGACCCUCACAAGCAUGUGCGAAUGAGCACAAAUGGCAAGCAAGCAUAGUCCAAGUCUCAAGUAUCCAACCCUCAUGUCUCUAACAUGGUAUAGUCACUAGCAUCUCGAAGAUCUAGUUCUAAGUCACAAAUGAAGUUCCAACAUUCUCUAGGUCUAGUGCCCCUUUAUGACACUUAGACAUUUAAUGUUUAAGCAUGUUCCACAUUCCUCAAUGGCCCUAUCCACUAGGUUCACACAUGUCCCGAGCUCAAUGCCGCUUGAUGACAUUAGCUCUCUAGUUCACAUACCUUCUAAAUGGCAAUUUUGUCAACUUUCAUGUCUCAAUAAACUUAAGUUUAAAUGCAUGAAUCGAAUCUCAUUUACACUAUGGGAGCAUGAAAUCACGUCUCAUAUAGAAUGCUAAAUGCAACUAUAGGCCUACCAAGCUACUCUCUACUACAUAGAGGUCCAAAAUUUCAUCAUAUAUAACAUAAGCCUUUUAAGCAUUCUAAAAUUCACAAUAAAUACAUAUAACAAGAAUAUGCAUGCUUUUUCACUUAAAAUACUUAAUUAAGCACAAAUGAGAAUUUCUCAUUGUGUGGCUAGGUCAAACCCACCGAACCGUCGCGUAGGGCCUCGCUUCGCCGAACAAAGUUGUCCCCGAGUCUCAAAAUACCCUAAAAGUAUUGAGCGACAAGAUACACGGGCAUUACGAUCAACUAUAAGAUCAAACUUUAACAAAUUUAGCAAAAGGGCUAAAACUCACCCAAUGUGUGGAAAAUCUCUCCUAAGCUCCAAAUGGGAGCUAGAAUCCUUCCAAUCCAAGCCCAAGGAAGGUUCUAAUCCAACCAAUUUAGGUCCAAAAGCCCUAGAUCAAAAAUGCCCAAAUAUAAGCCCUAAAACCUCAUCUAGGGUUUUAUCUUAAAGAAACCUCCAAAAUUCAAAUCUAGAGGAAAAGAUCUAGUCACUUACCUCUAGGAAGCUUCAAACCAAGCUCAAAGUCCUCAAACUUCAAGGAUCAUCCCUCAACCAAGCAUAAACCCAAGCUCCAAUGGUGGGAAAAGCCUCCAACACCCAAAAAUGAGCAAAAAGAGAGGCUUUAAUCUCUCUAAAUCUAAAUAAAACCAAAGGAAUCAAAGGGGAGAGUGUGGAGGGCUCCCUCACCUCUUCUCUUGCUGGUCCCAAGCUUAGGAGAAGUCCCAACGGCGUGGGGGAAACAUAUAGAGAGCCACAUUUGCGAAAAACCCCCUGCAGUUCAAACUGCUAAGAUUCUGCCAAAGUGUACCGGUAUACGGGAAAGUGUACCGGUACACAUCCUACGAAAAUGCAAACCCGAGGCUCGGGUUUGAAAUUCGCCACAAGUGUACCGGUACAACCAUCAAAAGUGUACCGGUACAAAAUGUGUACCGGUACAGCCAUCGACCUGUCACCGGUUACACCUCGUGCAGAAUGCAAUCCGAGGGUAGGCUAAGUCCAACUCUUUAGUGACCUUAGCGCUACAUAAAAUACUACAAUUCUCGGGAUGCGAGCCAUAGGUCGGAACACUGUCAACGACCCACCAGAAAGUCUGGAAAAACUCGGGACACUGUCCAAACACUCGAACCUCGCAAUUUGCAAAGGUCCAGUGCGUCACAUUCACCCCUCCUAAAAAGGAGUUUCGUCCGCGAAACUCGAAAGCAAACGCCGUACCUCAAGACUCCAUCUGAAAAAGAUGGGGAUAGCGCUCCUGGAGCGCGCUCUCUAGCUCCCAAGUGGCCUCGCGCUCGUCGUGGUUGCUCCAAAGCACCUUCACGUAGGGGAUUUCCCGGUUCCGCAAUCUUUUUACCUCGCGAGCCAAAAUCCUCAAGGGUUGCUCCUCAAAGCUCAAAUCCUCCCGCAGCUCCAUAGGUGUAGCAUCCAACACAUGAGCCGGGUCGUGGAUGUACUUCCGAAGGACCGAUACAUGGAAUACAUUGUGUACACCCGAUAGGUUUGGCGGUAGAGCAAGUCGAUACGCCACCGGGCCUACACGCUCCAAAAUCUCAUAUGGUCCAAUAUAUCGGGGGCUCAACUUACCCCGGAUUCCAAAUCUUCUAAUUCCUUUGGUCGGCGAGACUUUCAAGAACACAUGGUCUCCAAUCUGAAACUCCAAGUCUCGUCGACGCCGAUCAGCAUAACUCCUCUGCCUACUCUGGGCUGUCAACAAUCGCUCCCGAGCAAUGCGAACCUUGUCCUCUGCUUCCUGGAGCACAUCUGGGCCUAAAGCCAAUCUCUCGCCAACUUCACUCCAAUGAAGUGGCGAUCUACACUUCCGUCCAUAGAGUGCCUCGAACGGUGCCAUCUUGAUGCUUGCUUGAUAACUGUUGUUAUAAGCAAACUCUGCCAUCGGUAGAUGCUGCGACCAUCCUCCCUGGAAGUCAAUCACGCAGGCUCGAAGCAUGUCCUCGAGAGUCUGUAUAGUACGCUCCGACUGCCCGUCACUCUGAGGGUGGAAAGCUGUACUGAAGUCCAAACGCGUACCCAGAGCGUCCUGUAAGCUCCUCCAAAAGUGGGAUACAAAACGGGGAUCUCGAUCUGAAACGAUAGAAGUAGGUACCCCGUGCAAUCGCACAAUCUCAUCCAAGUAUACCUGUGCGAGUCUCUCACCAGUCCAAGUAGUGUGGAUAGGUAUGAAAUGUGCCGAUUUCGUCAACCUAUCCACAAUCACCGAAAUAGCGUCAUGCCCGGCCUGUGAGCGAGGCAAUCCCAUCACGAAAUCCAUGGUGAUCUUUUCUCAUUUCCACACUGGAAUUGGUAGGCUCUGCAACUUCCCCGCAGGAACUCGGUGCUCAGCCUUCACCUGUUGGCAAGUCAAACAUCUAGCAACAAACUCACCAACAUCCUUUUUCAUCCCGGGCCACUAGUAAAGCAACUUCAAGUUCUUGUACAUCUUGGUGCCUCCCGGAUGUAUAGCAUACGGUGCUCAGUGUGCUUCUUGAAGAAUGUCCUCUUUAAUGCCCAAGUCCGCCGGUACACGAAGUCGUCCGCGGAAACGCAUCAAUCCAUCACCGUCUAAAGCGAAGUCACCGGUGCAACCAUCAACCAUUUUAUUUCGAAUCUUUUGCAACUACAAGUCGGAAGCUUGCUUUUCUUUAAUCUUCUCCAAAAGUGUAGGUUGCACCACCAAAGUCAUCAACCUCAAAGGUGUAUCAGGAGCCACCACCUCCAACUCCAACCGCAUCAUUUGCUCGAUCAACGGCGGUUGAGUAACCAUAAGCAUCGCUAAGUUCUCCGUCGAUUUCCGACUUAGCGCAUCCGCCACCACGUUAGCCUUGCCCAGGUGGUAAAGUAUCGUCAAAUCAUAAUCCUUGAGCAGCUCCAACCAUCUGCGCUGCCUCAAGUUCAACUCCUUCUGAGUGAAAAGAUAUUUUAAGCUUUUGUGAUCCGUAUACACUUCGCAUCGCUCGCCGUAGAGAUAAUGGCGCCAUAGCUUCAAUGCAAAGACUACGGCUGCCAACUCCAAGUCAUGGGUAGGAUAGUUUCUUUCAUAAUCCUUCAAUUGGCGUGAUGCAUACGCGAUCACUUUCCCGUCCUACAUCAAAACACAGCCCAAUUCAUUAAAUGAAGCAUCACUAUAAAUCACAUACCCUGCUCCAGCAGUUGGCAAGGUUAGGAUCGGGGCGGUCGUCAAUCGCUGCUUCAACUCUUGGAAGCUCCUUUCACACGCAUCAUUCCAAAUAAACUUGGUGCUCUUAUGCGUGAGUCUCGUGAGGGGAGUAGAUAACUUUGCAAAUCCCUCAACGAACCGUCGAUAGUAGCCGGCCAAACCAAUGAAGCUCCGUAUCUCGGUCAUGCUCGUCGGCCUCGGCCAAUCCUUGAUAGCCUCAAUUUUUCUUGGAUCCACAGCUAUCCCUGAUCUUGAAAUCACAUGGCCCAAAAACGCCACCUCUCUAAGCCAAAACUCACACUUUUUCAACUUGGUAUAGAGCUUCUUUUCCCGAAGCACUUGAAGUACAAGUCUCAAGUGCUCCUCGUGAUCCGUGUCACUCCGGGAAUAGACCAAAAUAUCGUCGAUAAACACCACAACGAACCUGUCUAAAUAAGGCUUGAAAACACGGUUCAUCAGAUCCAUAAAAACUGCCGGGGCAUUAGUAAGCCCAAACGGCAUAACAGUAAACUCGUAAUGUCCAUACCGUAUUCUAAAAGCCGUCUUAGAUACAUCCUCAGGUCUGAUCCUCAACUGAUGAUAUCCAGACUGCAAGUCAAUCUUGGAAUAUACACAAGAUCCCUGGAGCUGAUCAAAUAGAUCAUCAAUCCUCGGUAAUGGAUACUUGUUCUUGAUCGUGACUUUAUUAAGUUCACGAUAGUCCACGCACAAGCGAAGUGAUCCAUCCUUCUUCUUCACAAAUAGGACCGGUGCUCCCCAAGGUGACACGCUCGGUCGCACAAAACCCUUGUCCAGAAGAUCCUGCAGCUGCGCCUUCAGCUCCUUCAACUCUGCUGGUGCCAUCCUAUAGGGCGCCUUUGAGAUUGGGGUAGUCCCGGGGACGAGAUCUACCACAAACUCAAUCUCCCUAUCAGGAGGCAUGCCUGGUAGCUCCGCUGGAAACACAUCUCCAAACUCCCGCACUACGGGAAUAUCCUCAAUCCUAGGGGCGUCACCCUCACCUCGCAACACAACAGUAGCCAAAUAGGCUACGCAGCCUCUACUAAUCAACUGCCGAGCUCGAGAAGAGCUAAUCGUCAUCGCAAACAGCGAACUCUGGCAUCCUCGGUACACAACCUCCGCCUGCCCUGGCUCUCUAAAAGUCACCGUUCGAUCCUUACAAUCGAUAGUGGCGAAAUACUUAGUCAACCAAUCCAUGCCCAACACAACAUCAAACUCCCCGAGUUUAUGCAACGCUAACAAGUCCACGGGCAUGAUCCAAUCUCCAACCCGAAUAGGGCAACUGGGGCAAAACUCCCGAAUGUCCAAAGAAUGAUCGGGUACAACAACUCGGCCCGGAUGCAACAGGGAUACAAGUGGGAUGCCAUGCAGCUCGGCAAACAGCCGAUCAAUGAAUGAAUGCGAUGCACCGGUAUCAAACAAAGCUCUAGCUCGAAUACCAUAAAGUAAAAUGAUACCUGCGACCACAUUCUCGGCUGCCGCCGCCUCCUCAGUCUGGGCCGCGUACAUGCGCCCGCUCGGGGCCUGUCGUGACCCCUCCGUCUGCCGCUGGACAGGUGGCCGACCGGCCUGGUGAUGCGCAGAAGAUGUCCCCUGGCUGGGACCUGGCGAUGCUGGUGCAGAUGCCGCAGAUGGCGCUGGCAAUGGACUCCUCGGGCAGUCCGACUGGAAGUGGCCCUCCUGGCCACACAAGAAGCACCUGCCCCGGCUGCGUGAACACUGCCGCGGGUAAUGAGGACCGCCACAGAUCACGCAGCGGGGGGCCUGACGACGCUCGGGUCCUCCUCGCUGAGUAGACUGGCCACGUCCUCGCGACUGGCUCCGGCUCCUGGGGUGCCUCGGCGGCCUCCGUGAGUGCGUCUGACUCGCACCCUCAGCCGCGGGCCUCUUGCCCUUCCCUUUCUCCAAGCUCUCGCGACGCUCCUGCAGAUCCGCCGCUCCUGCCUCCACUAUCAAAGCUCGAUCCACAACCUCCCGGUAGGUCUGGAGGUUGGAAGACUGCACCAACCGGAAGAUAGAAGGCCGCAAACCGCGCUCAAAGAUGCGGGCCUUGUCCUCGUCGUCCCUCACAACAAACGGUACACAGUGUAGUAUCCGGGAGAACUCCCUCUCGUACUCAGCCACUGACCGCUCAUCCUGGCGCAAGCUGCGCAAAUCCUGCUCCAUCUUCCUCUUGACGCUGGUAGGAAAGUGGUGCGCCAGAAGAAGCUCCUUGAACCUAGUCCAAGUAAUCGCUGCCAAGUCGGUGUUGGGGUUGUCCUGGAUAUCCAACCACCAACGGUAGGCCUCGCCGUCCAGAAAGUGAGUGGCGAGCCAAACUCUGUCCCGCUCCUCCACAAAAGUGUCUCGAAACAGCUUUUUCAUAUGCAUCAACCACUUCUCGACAAUCCAGUGGUCGACGUUCUGGCUAUCAAACAUCCUCGGGCUGCACCUCCUGAACUCACUGAGGCGCUCCAUAAUCCGAUCCCGCUCGGCUCCCUCGGCCAUCACGGGGUAUGCUGCCCCUGUCGCCGGUCUCUGAACAGGUAGUGCCGCAACCACCUCCUCCCGAGGUGCGGUCGCCGGUGCCGCACGUGAAGAACUGGGCGCAGGGGAUUGCGCCCUCGAUGCGACGUCCACCACGGGUGCUGGCGGUGUGGGACCCUAGGUCUCCCUCGAAGCUGCCGCCUGCUGAAGUAGGAGGUCCUCAAGAUGCUUCAUCCGCGCCUCCUGCCGCUGAGCCAUAUCAGCCUGUCGCUGCGCCGCCGCCAUCUGCUGCGCCAACAAAUCAGUGAUAACCGCAAGCUGGGCCCUCGGGUCACGGACCUCACUAGAUCCGAAAGUAGCGGAGGUCUCGGCCUCCUCGGGAUGCGCCGCAUCAUCCGCCCCGGCAGACUGGGAGCGUGUAAUCGGCAUUGUCACUACAAAACAUAAAAGCGCAAGUUAGUAACCCACGCUAUCGCAACCCUGCUCAAAAUAGAUAAAACCCGAAUCAUGCGAAAGUAAGGAAGUGUCCUUUACUACUAACUCCCGAUGUUACGUUGUCGGCCGCCAACGUAACCCUCCGCGAAGUUAGAAGCCAUACACUGCGAUCAAACUCUAACUUUUUAGAGUUAUCAUAAAUCCAAUCGAGACACUUUCGCUAAUAAUUCAAUUAGACCUCGUCUCUCACGGGCCUAUUUCCUAUAGUCCAACCGGCAUAAGGUUUACUAGGUCCUCUGAGACUCAACCCUAGGCUCUGAUACCAAAUUAAUCUGUCACGCCCCGGGACCGGCGGAGGCCCUCCCGGUAGCGUGCCCAGACCCGCCAUAUGUCUACAUAUAUAAGGCGUCUACAAUAAAAGCGGAAGUAAAGCAUGAGAUAGAACAAAUAAAGAAGUGAACUAACUAGCAACUAAUGAUAUCAGAGCAAGUAAAGUUCUAUCAUCUACACCAAAGCAAAGAAAUAAAGCUAGUCAAUAAAAGAAACCAUAAGUAGUACAAUAUCUGUCUCUAGUACAAAAAUUGGUUAGGUCAUCUGAGUAGCACUGGGCCAAAAAAACCCUAACCGCUCUCGGUAAUGACAAGUAAAUAUCGAGAGAUAGCACCCUAACAACUCGUCCUCGAAGGAAGCUAGCUCGAAGCAACUCCCUUAUCCGCGAUCCCUGCCUCACCUGCGUGGAAGGCUCUGAAAACAAUCGAGAAAAAGAGGGCGUCGAGAACUAUAAUUUAUAGUUCCCAGUGGGCAAUUACUGACCUCAGCUCAUGCACCACUAGGCCCCAAAAGAAAAAGGGGUAAGUAACGACAUAUAGUAAAAUGCAAUAAAUAGCAAACACAAGAACUGUGAAAGAAAGCAUGAAUGAAAUGCUAUACUACUAUGUCUCUAAAUAAGCAUGAUGUCAUGGUGAUGUACAUCUCGCUAACAAAUACGGUAAUAUAUCCAAUGCAUACUAAUAUGCCUCACACAUAAUGAACAAGUUUAACCUCAACUACCAUAUGCCAAAUAUACAGGAGUUCGCUCUAUCAGAGUAACCAGAGUAUACUAUGAUCCAUGCAUGAAACGGCAAGUGUACUAUAUACCCCAAUGCUAUGUCAUAUGAGCAGUUCACUAAUCCAACUUACUACCUAAUCUAGUAGCGAUUAUUCAUUCUCAAACCCGUGUCGUUCUCUAUUUCCAAUCAAGCGACCUACCAAAGUAGUCCAGCUUGUGCCGCCUAAGUGCCUGUGGUAGCACACAUCCUACUCUUGGAAUGUGUCUGUCCCACUCGACCCCGUAGGCUUCUCAAUACCGCACGAAUGCGAACAAAAGCCGCGUAGGCUAACUCCGGAUGCCGGCUUGAGGGAGCGACCCUCCACAAGCAUGUGCGAAUGAGCACAAAUGGCAAGCAAGCAUAGUCACAGUCUCAAGUAUCCAACCCUCAUGUCUCUGACAUGGCUAUAGUCACUAGCAUCUCGAAGAUCUAGUUCUAUGUCUCAAAUGAAGUUCCAACAUUCUUAGGUCUAGUGCCGCCUUUAUGACACUUAAGACAUUUAAUGUUUAAGCAUGUUCCACAUUCCUCAAUGGCCCUAUCUACUAGGUUCAUACAUGUCCCAGACUUAAUGCCCGCUUGAUGACAUUAGCUCUCUAGUUCACAUACCUUCUAAAUGGCAUAUUUGUCAACUUUCAUGUCUCAAUAAACUUAAAGUUAAAUGCAUGAAUCCAAUCUCAUUUACACUAUGGGAGCAUGAAACCACGUCUCUUAUAGAAUGCUAAUGCAACUAUAGCCUACUAAGAACUCUCUACUACAUAGAGGUCCAAAUUUUAUCAUAUAUAACAUUAGCCUUUUAAGCAUUCUAAAAUUCACAAUAAAUACAUAUAAACAAGAAUAUGCAUGCUUUUUCACUUAACAAUACUUAAUUAAGCACAAGAUGAAGAAUUUUUCAUUGUGUGGCUAGGUCAAACCCACGAACCGUCGCGUAGGGCCUCGCUUCGCCGAACAAAGUUGUCCCGAGUCGCUCAAAAUAUCUAAAGUAUAUUGAGCGACAAGUACACGGGCAUAACGCAUCAACUAUAAGAUAAAUUUUAACCAAAUUUAGCAAAAGGGCUAAAACUCACCCAAUGUGUGGAAAAUCUCUCCUAAGCUCCAAAGGGGAGCUAGAAUCCUUCCAAUCCAAGCCCAAGGAAGGUUCUAAUCCAACCAAUUUAGGUCCAAAAGCCCUAUAUCAAAAAUGCCCAAAUAUAAGCCCUAAAACCUCAUCUAGGGUUUUAUCUUAAAGAAACCUCCAAAAUUCAAAUCUAGAGGAAAAGAUCUAGUCACUUACCUCUAGGAAGCUUCAAACCAAGCUCAAAGUCCUCAAACUUCAAGGAUCAUCCCUCAACCAAGCAUAAACCCAAGCUCCAAUGGUGGGAAAAGCCUCCAACACCCAAAAAUGAGCAAAAAGAGAGGCUUUAAUCUCUCUAAAUCUAAAUAAAACCAAAGGAAUCAAAGGGGAGAGUGUGGAGGGCUCCCUCACCUCUUCUCUUGCUGGUCCCAAGCUUAGGAGAAGUCCCAACGGCGUGGGGGAAACAUAUAGAGAGCCACAUUUGCGAAAAACCCCCUGCAGUUCAAACUGCUAAGAUUCUGCCAAAGUGUACCGGUAUACGGGAAAGUGUACCGGUACACAUCCUACGAAAAUGCAAACCCGAGGCUCGGGUUUGAAAUUCGCCACAAGUGUACCGGUACAACCAUCAACAGUGUACCGGUACAAAAUGUGUACCGGUACAGCCAUCGACCUGUCACCGGUUACACCUCGUGCAGAAUGCAAUCCGAGGGUAGCCUAAGUCCAACACUUUAGUGACCUUAGCGCUACAUAAAAUACUACAAUUCUCGGGAUGCGAGCCAUAGGUCGGAACACUGUCAACGACCCACCAGGAAGUCUGGAAAAACUCGGGACACUGUCCAAACACUCGAACCUCGCAAUUUGCAAAGAUCCAGUGCGUCACACUAUGAUUGUGGGAUUGUGAGUUAGCGAUACAUGUUAGUGGGUUAGGUUCUAACCCGGUGGACCUUUCAUAGGUUCGGUUGCACAGUCUUCACAGUCGAGAGAUUUUCGUCAGACACGUACAGGUGGGUACUUCGAUCCGACGUCGGUACAGUGGUGCACGCUCGGUGACGUUUCCUUUGCCCUUAUUGUUUAUAUCAUUUACCUUAUACAUGUUGAGCCUUGCACCCAUGCUAUUUCCUUAUUUACUCUACUUAGUUGUUGCCAGGUGUAGUAUCAUGUUUAGGAGUAGAGUAGACUUUAUUUGUAUAUGAUAUCUGUGACCUGGUCGGUCGGUUCUCCUAUUUGCAUAUGUGACCUGGUUGGUCGGUUCUCCUAUUUUCAUCUAUGAUUUGGUUGGUCUGUUCUCCUAUGUGAUCUCCAUGACCUGGUUGGUCGACGUUGCAUCUCCUAUACUUCUGACCUGGUUCAUGGAUUUGAUUACAUAAUGACCUAUGUGGUUGGUGUGCCCUGGGGGGCAGGAUUGUCGGCUGGUUGCCGACGGUUGAUCAUUGAGCAUAUUGCAUUCAUCGCCCGAUACUCGUCGCAUUUCACGAACAUUGGCGGUCUGAUCCACCGCAAGGGGUGUUAUUUUCCGGAAAAGUGGUUGUAGGUGUCAACCCGUGAGCCCUAGAGGGGUUAUAUGCAUUGUAGAGUAGUAGUGGCACUGGCUUGAGGUUUGCGGUGCGGACCAAGAGAGCAUUGGUUUCAGAUUGGCUACUUUUGGACUGAUUGUCCCGUUGAUGCAUGCAUACAGUAGCUAUAGCGAUUUAUCUAUACACAUUUCAUUACAUGUUUAUCUUAGCGACUGUACUACCAUUAUCCAUAUCCUUGUUUAUCUCCGUGAAUAGUGAGUACUCCUCGCCCUCGUCGGCUUGCGGUACCCACUCGGAGGGGAGACAUGUUUACAUGUUCUCACCCCCCACCCUCAUUACAGGUGACGUCGUAGGUCCGAGUGGGACAGCUGGUGAGGAGCGUGUCUAGCGUAUGAUAGAGCUAUGUCCCGUGUUGGUUAUUUCUUUACCCUUCAUGCUUGAAUAAAUAACUUAGACAUUUUAUGGUUCAGUUUUGUUAUAUUAUUUGAAUAUCUGAGUUUUCAGUUGGAUUUAUGAUGUAAUAAAAAGGAUUUGUGGAUUUCAAAUGUUGAAUGGUUUUCUACCCCUCGUGGUAGCAUUUCUAAAAGAUAAAAGUUUCCGUGUAGGGAACAGUUUUUAAAAGGUUUUCUGUGGAUUUUGUAUCUUAGUAUUUCAAAACCUGUUUCUGGGUUGGACACGUUUUAACUGAUAGAUGUAGAUUUAUGUUUAAAUAUUGAAUGUAUAACUGUAAUGUGAAUGGUGAAUGAAUGAUUGUAUAGUUGUUUCUAUAUUCAUUUAGUUGUGGUUGUAUCCAGUUUACUUGUUGUACUUGUGUGACGCCGUGCAAAUAUAGGGGAGACUAUGUCCAUGUGAUCAGUGAACUCUCUGUAUUUGUGGCGGAUCUGGCAUACCCUGGGGUCAGGUCUUUCAAAAAAAAAAAUUUCUAGCUAUUUCCGUUGUGCUUUAAAAUAAAAAUGGACCCCGAGGAGUGACAGAUUAAAGUAGUAUCAGAGCCAAGUUACAACCACAACACCAUUCACAGGUUGUUUUGAAAAACAAAAUAAACUGAGCCAUUGGUUAGGUUGACCUUUUGGAAGACCUACGAUGUAUAGGCACAUGAGUGCGGGUUUUGGGCUCGAAUUCUAGUUGGUAGUAGUCGAGUCGAUUAUUUGACUGACGGUGUUUUCUGUUGCAGAUGGCUCGUGGUCCUGGUAGACCUCCUCGUUGGGGUCGUGGCGGUGGAUGCGCCACUGAGGGGGCAUCGGACAGUCCUGGAGGGCGUGUCCUGAGGGGCAGGGGUAGAGGGGAGCAGGUCGGCCCCGAGCAACUGGGUGAUGUCCAUACCCAACAGCUUGAGGCCGAGGUAGCAAUGAUGAGGGGUCAGCUGACGGCCCUCUCGGGGAUGUUCCAGCAGUUUAUGCAGCAGCAGACUGCAGCUGCUGCUUCCCCAGCUCCACCUCCGACACAGCCGGCUCCAGUUACUGCGGACACUCCGGUGAUAUCUCCACUGGCUACAGCUCCGACUGGCACGACGACGACGACGACUACCACGACGGUUUCCGCUGGGGGUGCUAAUACCUCUGCAGCGGAGGGCGAUCGCAUGCGGGCGAAGUUGGCCCAGUUCAGGAAGUUCGACCCACCUAAGUUCGCUGGGAAGAAUGAUGAUGCAUGGGUGAUCGAGCACUGGGCAACCCACAUGGAGAAACUAUUUCGCGAUCUCCAUAUUGAGGAGCAGGAUCGCGUUCCUCUGGCCGCUCAUUGCCUUGAGAGGGAUGCGUAUGCAUGGUGGAUCCGCCACUUCGUGAACAAGCUCUCAAGCAUCUAUCCACCCUGGGAGGAGUUUCGGAGACUCCUAUAUGAGCAGUACUUCAAGGACAGUACGAAGCAGAACUUGGAGCGCGAGCUGGAGCGCCUUAAGCAGGGUAACCGUACUGUGGCGGAGUACGAGCGAGAUUUCAGCCGCAUCAUCGGGCUGAUCCCCUUCACGGUGAGGGACGAGUACCACAAGGCCAAGCUUUUUAUCAAGGGGCUGAGGCCCAACAUUCGGCUCUUAGUCGCAUCCAAUGGCGCGAUACCCUUUGACGAGUGUUUCGACCGGGCUCUUAUAGUGUAGAGCGAGUCGGAGGAGGUUUGAGCUGAUCGCGAUGCAUCCGAGCGAUCGAGGGACAGGAAGCGUUCCCAUUCUAAGUCUAGCGGUGGCUCUUCUUUCAACAAGAAGCCACCGAAGCAUCCUCGCACUCAGCAGUCGGCGAAGAGUCACCCUCCGGCAGUCAGCGACGCGGCGGUCGACCCUGUGUGAUUUGUGGGCAAGCACACCGGGUGACCGACUGUCCGCGGAGGAGGGACCACUGUUUCUGUUGUGGUCAACCGGGCCACCUGCAAGCACAGUGCCCUAUGAGAAAUGGGGCUAAUCAAAGUGCUGCCUCCUCCCCAGCUGCAUCCCAACAGAACCAUGGAGCUCUUAGCACAGCAGCUUCGUCUGGGCGUCCCUCCUCCUCACGCCAAAAUGAGGGGGCGCGCCAAGCAUCUCGUGGACGGGUAUUCGCCCUAACUCAGCAUGAGGGCAACACUGGUGGCGGCGUCCCUCGUAGCUUAUGGUACUCAAAGGUUAAAUCAUCACAAAUCUUCGAUUCUACAAGCUCCGGAAGGAGGUUCAACGCGUGGAUCUCGCGUGAAGCCGAGGAUUCGGUGGACGCUUCGAGGAGUUGAGGCGUUAACGCUUCGAGGAGUUGAGGCGUUAACGCUGCGAGAAGUUGCAGCAAGGUCGAUUAGUGGAUUCCUAUCGAUCGAGGACCGGCGAAGAUCACCAUCAACAAAAAUUCGGUAAAUUGAGUCGUGUAUUUUUGUCAAAAUCAUUUGUAUUCAAGUUUUCUUAGUGGAUUUUCUUCGCGUGAUCGGUCCCGUGGGUUUUUCACUCCGAAUUGGAGUUUUCCCACGUUAAAUUCUCGGUGUGCUGUUUUAUUUUCCGCUACUUUGUUUUAUUUGCAUCGAGAUUUUCGAGUUUGCCGUUUUUACACCUAUUCACCCCCCUCUAGGUAUUACUUACCUUUUAGAUCCUCGGGAUCCAUAUCUUACAUUCGGGACUUCCGGUGAGUUACGGUGAUCGGUUUUGGGAAACCGAUUCGGGGAUCUGUGUGGGGGUUUGUGAGAUAGUGUACUUCAGGUGAGUGGGUUGGUUACUGACCCGUUGGAUCUUCAACUGACCCGUUGGAUCUUCGUAGGUCCAGUCGACUUGUGCGUACCCAGUGUUUGGACGCGACAGUGACAGGUGGGUGCUUCGAGCUGGUAGUCGGUGAGAGUGUUUCACCUCCUUCUGUUUUUCUAUUCUAGCAUUAUAGUCUCUUCAUGUCGUUGUUUGUUUAUCGUUCGGUUAUCCUAUCUCGUUGAUUGCAUUUGGAUAGGUGUGGAUAGACAUGUAGAGCAGGCUUACAUUUAUACUUUGCAUCUCUGUGGACCUUGGGUCCAGGCAACACAUCGACUCCUUUGUCGUGUGUUUCGAUCUGGUUGAUCGUGAUUCGGCAUUGUACGCCCUAGCAUCUAUCAUAGUUCGGCGUUGUACGCCCUUGUUGUUGGCUUCGGCCUAGGCACCGGCUUUAGCCGGGUUUGUUUUUGUUUGAGCAUACCAGCAUGACUUAGUCACAGCACUUGGGGGUAUUCAUGACACCGGAUCGAUUUGGCCACCGAUCGGAGGUAUACUUAUCCGGAUAGGUCGUCCUGUGGGGCGGAUGGAUCAGGUCGGUGCAGUUAGUGACAGGCAGCGCUUGAGGUCUGCGGACCAAUAUAGCAGUAUCAGAUUGGGUUUGGUUUUGGACUAUUCGCCUUUGAGGCAUCUGAUCAGUUGAGUUUUUAUGACAGUAGUAGUUUUAUUCUUGCUCAGUUAGUAUCUUGUUUCUAUUACUACUGUAGUCGCUCUAAUAUCACAUCAUGUUCAUAUCUAUGCUUCUGUUUCAUAUCAGCAUAUAUAUACUUGUUUAUCUAUCUCCUUUGGUUUCUGAUGAUUACGGCUUGCCUUCGUGGCUCUGUCGUACCCACUGAGAAAACCAUGGUUGCGGUUUCUCACCCCCCAUUUCCCCCCUCCAGGUGACAUAGACGAGGAGUUGGAUUUUGGGCUCGACGAGAGGACGAUCUAGCUAGUCUGGUAUAGCGAUCGCCACCCUGGUUGUAUUUCAUUCCUGCUUUUAGUAGUUUAAAUAAAUGGUUCAGUUAGAUGAUCAUACUUGAUGUUUGAAUGUUGUGAGCUGGUUGAAUUCGUGGAUUUGUGGAUUUGGUUUAUGGAUCUUCAGUUUUGGGAUUUUUGUAUACUUUAUGGCUCUCGGAUUUGUAUUUAUGGAUUUACGCUUCGUGGUUUUCUAUCCCUCGAGGUAGUCGGUUUUCAAAACAGAGUUUCCAUGUGGAAACAGUUUUCAAAAGGUUUCGAAUGGUUUUCAUGUAUGAAUGAAUUAGAUUUUAAAAAUAAAGCUUCCGUGUGGGGAGCACUUUUAAAUAGGAUGAUUGUUGUACUGUGCAUUGCAUCAUCCAGCGCCUAAGGAGUGCUUAGAGGCAUGCAUCAUCUCUAAGGAUUAUUAGCUGUAUGAAAAUGCAUAUCAUGAAUUGGUUGUUGAUUGGUAAUUGUAGAUUGUAGUUGAGAUCCUGUUGUAUCGUUGGUACGCCGUGCAAAUACAAAGGAGACUCUGCCCGAGUGGACAGAGGAACUUUGUAUUUGUAGCGGGUUUGUACGUCACGUGGGCCAGGUUGAAAAAAAAAAAAUGGCACAUCUUCUGCGACUCUGAGCUUUCAAAAUGGUAAUGGCUUUUAAAUUUGGCCGCAGGGCGUGACAUGUCGACAAGCCUUAACAGCAGAAUACCAGGGAUCUCACAGUACAGGUAGUAUUCAUUUAUUUCUUUUAGAAAGAAACUUAGCUGAGAAUGAAAAUCAACUAAGAUUCGAAUUUGGGAUCUCGGACACCAACUAUCAAAUCUUUUACUACUUGCGGUAGAAACAGUCGACGACUUGGUCUUUAUUGUUCUUGAAGAAAGGUAGCGCACAACCAUUCUAAUGGCUAUGAUGCAAUCUUUGCCCAUCAAUUAUUUGCCAAAGGAGAUUAGAUAAAGUAAGACUUAUUACAAAAUGUUGCAAUGUCACAAGUCCCAAUCACUUGAUUGCUACUUUUGCCUACCUAGUGACUAUGGACCACGUCCAAAUCUUAUCCUUUGAAAAGAAGCACAACUUUUAAGCCGCAAGAGCUAUUGGCAUUUUAUAUGAUUGAAUGUGCUAGCAUAUGAAUUUUAUUAUUAUUGUAAUUGUUGAUAUUUUUCUAAAGCACGUCGGCUGGAAAUAUAGAGCACAUUGCAUAUAAAAUAACAAAGAAGUAAAAAAAUAAAUAAAUAAAUAAAUAAAUUUUAAAAAAAUUGCCAUAAAACUGUAAGCAACAUAUUAUGCACAUGCACACCUAGCUAGUCAUGUACAACAUGUAUUUAUAAGAAAUAAAACUAGAGUAAAGAUACCAGGGAUGAUCUUACAUUAUAUAUUUUUAAUUUUCUGGACGUACAUACGUGGCUCAGUUUAAUCUAUUACAUUUUCAACUCUUUUAUACUUGCACUACAACAAAAACGGUAUAUAGCGACACUUUUAAAUGUCAGUACAAAUCAAAAAAAGUGCUGCUGUGUCAUGCCCCGGGGUCCCUUUUAGGUUAAAACACAGCGAAAUUUUUUUUUUUGAAAACCUGACCACAGGGUAUGCCAGAUCCGCCACAAAUACAAGGAAUCCACUGUUCACACGGACAGAGUCUCCCCUAUAUUUGCACGGCGUCGCACAAGUACAAGAGUAUAAUCAGGAUACAACCACCAUAAUAAAUAAACAAUAAUCAAUAUUCAUUCACCAUUCAUCACAAAUUUACCAUUCAUAAUUCCACGACUAUUAGUUAAAACGUUUCCAACUCAGAAACGGGUUUUG
RNAcentral lists this long non-coding RNA (44183 nucleotides) under Ananas comosus (pineapple). RNAcentral's name for it is "long non-coding RNA (ACOM_LNC028223)". The record is from RNAcentral. Lineage: Eukaryota; Viridiplantae; Streptophyta; Magnoliopsida; Poales; Bromeliaceae.